GAGUAUUGGACAAUGGGCGCAAGCCUGAUCCAGCAAUGCCGCGUGAGUGAAGAAGGCCUUCGGGUUGUAAAGCUCUUUCGGCGGGGAAGAUAAUGACGGUACCCGCAGAAGCAGCCCCGGCUAACUCCGUGCCAGCAGCCGCGGUAAUACGGAGGGGGCUAGCGUUGUUCGGAAUUACUGGGCGUAAAGCGGACGUAGGCGGAACGGCAAGUUGGGGGUGAAAUCCCGGGGCUUAACCCCGGAAUUGCCUUCAAGACUGCCGAUCUAGAGUCCGGGAGAGGUAAGUGGAAUUCCUAGUGUAGAGGUGAAAUUCGUAGAUAUUAGGAAGAACACCAGUGGCGAAGGCGGCUUACUGGCCCGGUUCUGACGCUGAGGUGCGAAAGCGUGGGUAGCAAACAGG
This 400-nucleotide ribosomal RNA is filed under the name uncultured bacterium. RNAcentral describes it as "bacterial SSU rRNA". It matches the Rfam family "Bacterial small subunit ribosomal RNA", at positions 359 to 776 of the family's 1533-position model. The record is from RNAcentral.